RNAcentral lists this unclassified non-coding RNA (253 nucleotides) under uncultured Anaerolineae bacterium. RNAcentral's name for it is "contains 16S-23S intergenic spacer region". It matches the Rfam family "Bacterial small subunit ribosomal RNA", at positions 524 to 776 of the family's 1533-position model. Lineage: Bacteria; Bacillati; Chloroflexota; Anaerolineae. The record is from RNAcentral.
UACGUAGGUGGCGAACGUUAUCCGGAAUCACUGGGCGUAAAGGGUCCGUAGGCGGCUGGCCAAGUCGGCCGUGACAGCGCGCGGCUCACCCGCGUGAGGUCGGUCGAAACUGGCGAGCUAGAAUCGGUAGGAGGUCGGCGGAAUUCCCGGUGUAGUGGUGGAAUGCGUAGAGAUCGGGAGGAACCUCAACGGCGCAGGCAGCCGGCUAAUACCAGAUUGACGCUGAGGGACGAAAGCGUGGGGAGCGAACAGG